GUAUAUAGCAGUUUGGUAGCUCAUAAGGCUCGUAACCUUGGGGUUGUGGGUUCGAUUCCCCCUAC
Molecule: non-coding RNA, 65 nt
Organism: Triticum aestivum (bread wheat)
Lineage: Eukaryota; Viridiplantae; Streptophyta; Magnoliopsida; Poales; Poaceae
Source: Rfam